This 534-nucleotide ribosomal RNA is filed under the name uncultured Cryptanaerobacter sp. RNAcentral describes it as "bacterial SSU rRNA". It matches the Rfam family "Bacterial small subunit ribosomal RNA", at positions 521 to 1050 of the family's 1533-position model. The record is from RNAcentral. Lineage: Bacteria; Bacillati; Bacillota; Clostridia; Eubacteriales; Desulfotomaculaceae.
UAAUACGUAGGGGGCGAGCGUUGUUCGGAUUUACUGGGCGUAAAGAGCGCGUAGGCGGUUCGAUUAGUCGGAGGUGAAAUCCCUCGGCUUAACCGAGGACCCGCGUCCGAUACUGUCGAACUUGAGUGCAGGAGAGGAGGGCGGAAUUCCCCAGUGUAGCGGUGAAAUGCGUAGAUAUUGGGAGGAACACCGGUGGCGAAGGCGGCUCUCUGGACUGUCACUGACGCUGAGGCGCGAAAGCUAGGGGAGCAAACGGGAUUAGAUACCCCGGUAGUCCUAGCCGUAAACGAUGGGCACUAGGUGUGGGAGGUAUCGACCCCUUCCGUGCCGCAGCUAACGCAUUAAGUGCCCCGCCUGGGGAGUACGGCCGCAAGGUUGAAACUCAAAGGAAUUGACGGGGGCCCGCACAAGCGGUGGAGCAUGUGGUUUAAUUCGACGCAACGCGAAGAACCUUACCAGGGCUUGACAUCCCGCGAAUCCCUUCGAAAGAAGGGAGUGCCCGCAAGGGAGCGCGGAGACAGGUGGUGCAUGGCU